Molecule: unclassified non-coding RNA, 19 nt
Filed under: Chlamydomonas reinhardtii
Lineage: Eukaryota; Viridiplantae; Chlorophyta; Chlorophyceae; Chlamydomonadales; Chlamydomonadaceae
Description: small RNA Cre_3531
Source: RNAcentral
UGUCCGAGACCCAGGGCGG